GGCGGGGGCGGGGCCGGGGCCGGGCUGGCGAGGCCGGGCCGGGCCGCAGGGCGGCCGCGGGGAUGCGGGGCUGGCGGAGGAACCUCGCGCUCUGCCUGCAGCGGCUGCCGGACGAAGCAAAUGCUUCCAGAGGACCCCUUUCCAACUUCCCCUCCCCAGGCUCUGGCUAGUCUCUGCACACAAUCAGAAAAAUAAAAGCCAGUCCUUAGCUUCAAGUUGCCCCCAAUCCCUCAGAUAACAAAAGUUCAAGGUGCUCAGUGCUUGGGGAGUGUGGAGUUGAGGGCGGCAGCAAAUUCCUGUCGGGGAGACUGCUCAGAGGAGGAAGGCGCUGCGACCCAGUUGAGAAGGUCAGAUUUCCACCGGCAGAUUCUUCCUGUGGUGUGGCCUGAUUAAUUUCCCUCCUUAUGCUGGUCCUUUCUGUCUCUAAUAGACCCUUGAAAUGUUAGCCAGAAGUGUUAUAGAAGUCAUCAGAUCCAAGCCUCUUAUUAGAGAGAUGGGGGAAACAUAGAUGCAGCAAGAAGGAAACAACUUUUUAUUCAUGCAACAAAUAUUUACUGGGCCUUGUUCUGGGUAUUGGGGGAUAAAGCAGUGAACAAGACAAAGACCCUGUGGAACAGAGUAAACUAGAGUUUACAUUCUAGAGGGGGAGACAAAGAACAAGUGAGCAAAUAAAUGUGAGUGGGAGAGUUUCAGAGAGUCAUCAAUGAUAUGAAGACAACACAGGAAUACAGGGUGAUGUAGAAGAGAGUCCUGGGGGAGGGGGCUUCUAUAGACAGGAUGGUCUAGGAUGGUCAGGGAGGCAUCCCUGGAAGGUGACUUUGAGCUGGCACUAAAGAGUGAGAAGGCUCAGCCACACAAAGAGCAGAAGGAAAAGCAAUGCAGGCGGAGGGAACAGCAAAUAUAAAGAAAAGCCAGGGUUUUCAGGGAGUUGUGUGGGGAGGACAGUUUGACCUGUUGGAGGAAUAGAAAAAAGAAUUUAGGAAGGGAGAGAAUGAUAAGGUUGGAGGAACCAGAUCAUGAACAAUCAGAUCAGUGUAGGGCCUUGACUGCCAUGUAAA
RNAcentral lists this long non-coding RNA (1058 nucleotides) under Macaca mulatta (Rhesus monkey). RNAcentral describes it as "lncRNA (ENSMMUG00000058559.1)". The record is from RNAcentral. Lineage: Eukaryota; Metazoa; Chordata; Mammalia; Primates; Cercopithecidae.